UACGUAGGUCCCGAGCGUUGUCCGGAUUUAUUGGGCGUAAAGCGAGCGCAGGCGGACUUUUAAGUAAGAUGUGAAAUACUCGGGCUCAACUUGAGUGCUGCAUUUCAAACUGGAAGUCUAGAGUGCAGGAGAGGAGAAUGGAAUUCCUAGUGUAGCGGUGAAAUGCGUAGAGAUUAGGAAGAACACCAGUGGCGAAGGCGAUUCUCUGGACUGUAACUGACGCUGAGGCUCGAAAGCGUGGGGAGCAAACAGG
This 253-nucleotide ribosomal RNA is filed under the name uncultured bacterium. RNAcentral's name for it is "partial 16S ribosomal RNA". It matches the Rfam family "Bacterial small subunit ribosomal RNA", at positions 524 to 776 of the family's 1533-position model. The record is from RNAcentral.